GUAGAUGUUUCUCUGGAAUUUUGUUGUUUUCUCUGUGAUUCAGUGGAUGUUGACAAUUUGAUCUCUUGUUCCUCUGCCUUUUCUAAGUUCAGCUUGUACAUCUGAAAGUUCUCAGUGCAUGUACUGUUGAAAUCUAGCUUGAAGAAUUUUGAACAUUACUUUGC
This is a long non-coding RNA of Cervus elaphus (red deer), 164 nucleotides long. RefSeq lists it as uncharacterized. The record is from RefSeq and is a predicted model, not a curated record. The transcript is spliced from 3 exons. NCBI's taxonomy places the organism in Eukaryota, Metazoa, Chordata, Mammalia, Artiodactyla, Cervidae.